RNAcentral lists this long non-coding RNA (1969 nucleotides) under Haliotis rubra (blacklip abalone). Its description in RNAcentral is "uncharacterized LOC124266552". The record is from RNAcentral. Lineage: Eukaryota; Metazoa; Mollusca; Gastropoda; Lepetellida; Haliotidae.
CAGUGAGUAUGUCCAUUCCCAAAAUACCAUCAACUUCGAACGAGUUCUCAAUCUCAGCUACAAGAAAUUCUUCCUGCGUAGGUUCCAUGUCUUCACUUAAAGUCAUCAAUGCCUUGAAUAUUCCUUUUACAGGAAAUGAGGUUCCAUUAACAGCCUCCAAGGACAAAGUAAUAGGACUCAGUGAAACAGAACGAGGAAGACGCUUGUAAGAUCUCGGAGAUAUCAAAGACACUUGGCUACCAGUAUCCACUAACAAAGUAAUGUCGUGUGUAUGCAGUGGCUUUCACAGACCUGUGAGUGGUUCGACAGUUUGGUCCGCCCAAUACAGACUCAUACCUUUCUGCAACAUCAACUGCUCCUUGUAGUGUGCAAACACUCUGGUCAAGGAACCGGAGACGGAGAUCUUUGUCAACUGCUCUUUUCAGAGCAUCUAGCGCCAAUCUCUCCUGGAGGCCAUCAUCCAGAUCAGGAUAGGCUUCCUGGACAAGUCGCCAAACAUCAUCUCUCAAGUCUGCUAUUGACUCACCAGGGUUACGAUUUCGGUUUAGUAAUUCUUCCUGCUUAACCUCAGGAAAACUUCUACCAUAUCGUCUCCGAAGGGUAUCUGCAAGCCAUUGGUAGUCAUAGCGACUACGCUCAGGUAAUCUGGCAUAAAACACCUGUGCUGCUCCUUCCAGAGCGCAUCCUAACAUAUCAGCACACUGCUGGUCAGUCCAAUGUGAUUGCCUAGCCACAUUCCUGAACUGAGCCUCAAAGGCAGCAUAAUCCCCUUUACCACUGAACUUUGGCAAGUGCAAAGAGAUCCGCGCCACAGGAGUAGCUCUAGAAUCAGUUUGUCUGACAUCCAUGGCACUAACCCGCUCCGCUAAGCUCAAAACUGUGUUUGAGAGCUGUGCCAUGAUGUUAACCAUGUUCAUCUCAUUGUGACUGGCCAUUUGCUGAGAAGGAUGGUCAUUCCUUCCAAGAGGUCUGUAUGACACAUUGUCAUGCAAAGAUGGUGAGCAGUACUUUUGCCUGUUCGAGUCAAGCGACUGCGAAUCACACUGAAAAUGUUGCUGCCUGCCAUGACCCUGCAAGUCGCCUUCACUGAAGGACCUACUCGGAUCAACAGCCCUGGCGCUAUCUUCUCUUGUGGCACCAUCUUCCAAUGGUCUGCGAUAUUCUCUCGCGACCUGGAUGCUGUUUUGAUUAUCCACAAUACGUUUGGUACGUGACCUUAAGUUAGUUGCAGGGCCUUCCAUUGCAUAGAGUUUAUCAGAAAAACUAUUUUGAUAAUCAUCCAUAAUUACACUAAUAAGCUGAGUAAAAUUUCCACAUCAUAUGUACUUAUACAAAAAGAGAAUCCCACUUCUGACACCAUUAAACUGUAACGGGUUGGGGGUGGGGGACGUGGUAAUCAGGAUAUGUUUUAUGUCCCAUCCCAACCGUCAGUUUUGAAGAUAUAUGUAAAAACGGAUUAAAAGAAAAUUCUAACAAAUAAAUAAAGUCAGUGAAUCUUUACUCGCUGUUGUUGUUAUUUAUUUUACAGAUGACAAUAGCAAUUCAAGGAUAGGCAACUGCAAGAGUGAAUAAACUUUGCUAGUUUACCGACUUGUCCGUUAUGACAGGUCAGAGUACUGCAGAUCUAUUAUUCCUAUAAACUUCCAAAUUUUCACUUUAACAAGAAUAACUUCUGUGCGCAAAGGCAGAGCCAAGAAUGCAGCACUGUAGUUAUUAGUAAUUCAAAUAUAAAACUCUAGUAAUGCAAAAUUUCCUAAAAUAAAUCUCAGCCCAAAAACACUACAACUUACGUUGAGUCUGUUGUCUCUCUAACUGCUUUAGAACGAGAGUAUGCUAUAUGACGUCAUCGUACUUCCGGUAAUGCAUGUAGCAGAAGACGCCGAACGUUAGAGCGAGAAGAAUGCGAUCUAACAUCCAAAUAAGACGUGACAUUAAAUUAAACGGAUAUAGUUUACAAGUUACCACCUCC